ACUCUUCACGAUGGAUAUCUUGGCUCUUGAAUCGAUGAAGAACGCAGCGAACUGCGAUAUGUAAUGCGAACUGCAGAAGUCUGUGAGUCAUUGAAUCUUUGAACGCAUAUUGCACUUCCUUUGGGAGUAUGCUUGUUGGAGUGUGAUUUGACUUGAAUGUCUGCUCUAUUCUGGGUGAGUGGAGUAGACGAUGAUUGAUGGUGGGUUCAUCUGUAAGACCCUCCAUUGAAAUAAAUGAAUAGGUUGGAGUUAAAUUGGUAAAUAUCAAUUAACCCUAACCCUCUCUAAUUCUAUUUUCAUUUUUCAUCUCCAAUCAAGCAAGAAGACCUGCUGAAUUGAAGCAUCUAACUAAGCAGAGGAAAAGAAAAUAACGAUGAUUCCCUUAGUAACGGCGAGUGAAGUGGGAAAAGCCCAAUCCGAAUUAACCCUGCAAUAGUAGAGUUAAGUUGUGGAGUGUAGAAAUAUUGUUUGGUAUAAUAGAUUAUGAGAAUUGGAUUGGAAAGUCAAGUCAUAGAAGGUGAAAACCCUGUAUUUGCAUAAUGUAUUGUACCUUUUGAACAAUGUUUCGUGGAGUCGAGUUGUUUGGGAUUGCAGCUCGAAGUUGGUGGUAAACUCCAUCAAAGGCUAAAUAUGUUCAAGAGACCGAUAGCGAACAAGUACCGUGAGGGAAAGAUGAAAAGCACUUUGAAAAAAGAGUGAAAUAGUACUUGAAAUCGUGGAGGGGUUAAGCGUAGGAGUGGUUGAAUGAUGCAUGCAUUGUUGUUGAUGUACGUGUGCAUUAAUAAGAAUGAAUGCAAAUGCGAGAUUGUUUAAUGGUGGUAGAAGGUUUGUAUUGCUAUUGAACAAUCUUGGUGUAAUAACUGCUUCUCCGUCCCGUCUUGAAACACGGACCAAGGAGUCUAUCAUAUUUGCGAGUAGUUUAGUGUUAAACUAAAAUGCGUAAUGAAGGUAAUGGUUGUGAAGGCCCUUCUUCUAGGAGGGCUAGCAACAACUACCGGUCUUGCAUCUCUGAUAAAGGAUUCGAGUAUUAGCAAAGAUGGUGGGACCCGAAAGAUGGUGAACUAUGCCUGAAUAGGACGAAGCCAGGGGAAACUCUGGUGGAGGUUCGAGUGGAUUCUAACGUGCAAAUUGAUCUUUAAAUUUGGGUAUAGGGGCGAAAGACUAAUCGAACCAUCUAGUAGCUGGUUCCUUCCGAAAUUUCCCUCAGGAUAGCUGCAACUGUGUCUAGUUUUAUGAGGUAAAGCGAAUGAUUAGAGGAUUCUGGGAUGUAAUAUCCUGGACCUAUUCUCAAACUUUGAAUGGGUAAGAUGUUGUGGUUGCCUAAGCGAACCACGAUUUUGAAUAGUAGUUGCAAGUGGGCCAUUCCGGGUAAGCUGGACUGGCGAUGCGGGAUCAACCGAACGAUAUGGUACGGCGCCUAAUUGUUCGCUCAGUUCGAUAGAAAAGGUGUUAGUUCAUCUAGACAGCAGGACGGUGGCCAUGGAAGUCGGAAUCCGCUAAGGAGUGUGUAACAACUCACCUGCCGAAUGAAGUAGCCCUGAAAAUGGAUGGCGCUUAAGCGAACAGCCUAACCAUGUCUGCCGUCCCAAUUCUCUAGAAUUAUGGGUCGGCAAGUAGGAAGGCGUGAUGGAUAUUGAAAAGUAUAUGUGUAAACUUAUAUGGAAUGUCCAUUAGUGCAGAUCUUGGUGGAAGUAGCAAAUAUUCAAAUGAGAUCUUUGAAGACUGAAGUGGAGAAAGGUUCCAUAGGAAUCGUGUUGAACUAUGGGUUAGUCGGUCCUAAGAGAUAGGUGAAAUCCGUUGAAAAUGUUCUUUUGAAAGAAAGAGCAAUGGAUCGAAAGGGAAUCAGGUUAAUAUUCCUGAACCAAUGGGGUGCAAUUGUAGAAUGGUAACAGAGAAUAAUAUUAUGACAUCGGUUACUCUCCUGGGAAGAGUUUUCUUUUCUUGUUAACAAUAAUAAAAGCUUGGAAUGGAAUGAAUCCGCGAAAAGGUUUUGUUAUUGGUAAAGGAAUUCAAUAUUUUGAAUUCUCCGGUGCAGAGUAAUGGGUCCUUGAAAAGUAAUAUUAUUUCCUUUUUUUAGGGAAGGCAUUUCAUUGUCCGUACUCAUAACCGCAUCAGGUCUCCAAGGUGAAUAGCCUCUAGUUAAUAGAAUAAUGUAGAUAAGGGAAGUCGGCAAAUUAGAUCCGUAACUUCGGGAUAAGGAUUGGCUCUGAGGGCUAGGUGUGGUUCUUCGUAAGGAGGACCGUCGAUUCUUGGAUAUGGAGUGAAUGAGAGGAUUGAUGGAGUUGUCUGUCCUCGGAUGGACGGCCCUAUCACUCUUCUCUGCAACUCUCAUUCCUUGGAUCGAAGCACAAUGAAUAGCUGACUCAGAACUGGUACGGACAAGGGGAAUCCGACUGUUUAAUUAAAACAAAGCAUUGUGAUAGUGUGAAAGAUAUAUUGACACAAUGUGAAUUCUGCCCAGUGCUCUGAAUGUCAAAGUGAAGGAAUUCAACCAAGCGCGGGUAAACGGCGGGAGUAACUAUGACUCUCUUAAGGUAGCCAAAUGCCUCGUCAUCUAAUUAGUGACGCGCAUGAAUGGAUUAAUGAGAUUCCCACUGUCCCUAUCUACUAUCUAGCGAAACCACAGCCAAGGGAACGGGCUUGGCAACAUCAGCGGGGAAAGAAGACCCUGUUGAGCUUGACUCUAGUCUGACUUUGUGAUAUGACUCUCCAAGGGUAG
Molecule: ribosomal RNA, 2719 nt
Filed under: metagenome
Description: eukaryotic LSU rRNA
Rfam family: Eukaryotic large subunit ribosomal RNA (bases 304-2719)
Source: RNAcentral